GUCCUUCAACAAUCCUACAAAGCUGUAAAACAAAGCAUAUAAACAGCAUAUAUUGGUUGGUAGAUUGUCCACUUAUAUAGCCAAUAAAAACAAAGAAAUCUACUAUCAUUGAAAAAGAUAACCUCCAUUGGCAAGUAAAUGGGAUUUGAAUCACUCCUAGCUUGGAGUUGAAGUGCAGGCAAGGAUGUAUAACUGAGCUCAAUAUUGUAUCUCUCACGGAAAUAUUGAACCACGGACAUAUUUGUAUUGUUAUCAUCGAGAUUGAAGAAUAUUUGAUUCAGUGGCUGAUCGGAUACACCAGUGAUCCUAUGACACUCGGCAUUCUCCCUGUGACUUAGCUCCACUCUUAAUCCUUUUAAGCCCUCUUUUAUCUUAAUAUGUUCUUGUUCUGAUAGAGGCCUUGACAUGUCUUUUAAGCUAAAGUAUUUGGCUACAAAUUCAGUCACCAUAAUUGGCUCAAAG
Molecule: unclassified non-coding RNA, 462 nt
Filed under: Hevea brasiliensis (rubber tree)
Lineage: Eukaryota; Viridiplantae; Streptophyta; Magnoliopsida; Malpighiales; Euphorbiaceae
Source: RNAcentral